This is a microRNA precursor of Gadus morhua (Atlantic cod), 61 nucleotides long. The record is from Ensembl. NCBI's taxonomy places the organism in Eukaryota, Metazoa, Chordata, Actinopteri, Gadiformes, Gadidae.
AGCUGGUGUUGUGAAUCAGGCCGCCACAAUGCCCGGACCGGCUCCUUCCCAACACCAGGGU